RNAcentral lists this ribosomal RNA (945 nucleotides) under Triticum aestivum (bread wheat). Its description in RNAcentral is "partial small subunit ribosomal RNA". Lineage: Eukaryota; Viridiplantae; Streptophyta; Magnoliopsida; Poales; Poaceae. The record is from RNAcentral.
AUGCUUUCUAUGUCUUGUUGCCAUGAUAAAAAUGUAUCUAUUUCCUCGAGUUGUUGUGCUAACAAUGUAGAGGAAACCCAACACUCCAUGGAACAAGAUGUGGUCUGGAACGGUGCUUCAAGGGAUCCUACAUCAUCAUCGAUUGCUUUUUGCCUUAUGGCCAAGGCUUCAAAGGUAUCUCCCACUUUGAAUCCCAAUGUAUCUUGUGAUAAUAUUGAUGAUGGCAAGAGUGAUGAUGAUGUCGAUUAUGAUGAAGAGAAUGAUGAUGUUGCCUCCUUAAAAGUUAAGGGGGGAAUAAUUUUUAAAGCUCUUCUUAAGAAUAAAAUUGCUCGUUCCAACUUCAUGGAAAUCAUGUCUAUUGCUAUUGAGGGCAAGAAAUAUAUUGAUGAGUUGGAAUCUUGUCUUGAGGAGCAUGAGGUCGCCAUUGAUAAAAUGGAAGGUCAUGAGCAUGAUUACGCUAAUGAGAUUGCGGACCUCUCUCAAGCUCUUGAACUUGAACAAACCACCAAGGAAUCUCUUGAGGAGACUUUUGCUCUAGAGUUAUCUAGAGUGAAGGAAUAUCAUGAUAGAGCUCUUGAGGUGGCCAAUGUCUUUGAAACUAAAAAUGCUAAGCUUGAAGUUGCUCAUGCUAGACUCCUUGAGGAUUUUGAGCAGCUCGAAAAUGGCUCAAGGGUCAUCAAGGGUGAGCUCAUCAAACUCACCGAGUCUCAUGCUCAACUUGAAGCUUCUUAUUUAAAAGAGCUUGCCAAGUUGCCUUCUCCUCUUGUUGUUAAUGAUGAUGCUUGUGCUACUAACUCUAUUUCUUGUGAAGCAUCCAUUUUAAAGGAGAAUGUUGAGCUAAGGGCUCAACUUGAGUUGCUAUUAGCAAUUAUGGGAAAUUGGAAGAAAGUCAUGAAAAGCUUUCUAGCUCUCAUGAUGAUCUUCUUGUAUCCCAUAAUGUGCUAA